Molecule: non-coding RNA, 148 nt
Organism: Beta vulgaris subsp. vulgaris (sugar beet)
Lineage: Eukaryota; Viridiplantae; Streptophyta; Magnoliopsida; Caryophyllales; Amaranthaceae
Source: Rfam
AUCUUUUGGCACACACUACAUUAAAUGAUAAAGGUAAAGAAGAAAAAGCAGAAGAGGUGGAAUUCACAGUGUGUGACCGAUAGCGAAGUGGUACCGUGAGGGAAGGGUGAAAAGAACCCCCUGCCGGGGAGUGAAAUAGAACAUGAAA